GGGCCUAUAGCUCAUUCGAUUAGAGCAACUGACUCAUAACCAGUAGGUGCCUGGUUCGAUUCCAGCUGGGGCCAC
RNAcentral lists this transfer RNA (75 nucleotides) under Pontibacter amylolyticus. RNAcentral's name for it is "tRNA-Met". It matches the Rfam family "tRNA". From Rfam's summary of the family: Transfer RNA (tRNA) molecules are approximately 80 nucleotides in length. Their secondary structure includes four short double-helical elements and three loops (D, anti-codon, and T loops). Lineage: Bacteria; Pseudomonadati; Bacteroidota; Cytophagia; Cytophagales; Hymenobacteraceae. The record is from RNAcentral.